GAAUUAACCUCAUAAUCUCUCACUUACUUGUAAUAAGUCUAUUACAAGCCUUUUGUAAUAACUAUGUUACAAAGCUCACAACUCGACUAUCUCUAGUCAAGAUAAAAAUACAAGGUUUAUGAUUUUAUAGAUGGUUUCCUACAUAUUUCUUCAUGUUAAGCUAAGUAGGAAUUACAAGUAGAUCACUCUAACAAAGUACAACACAACUAAGGACAUAUGAUAACACAGUACUGGAAACUGGUCCUUAGUUCUG
This 253-nucleotide long non-coding RNA is filed under the name Nicotiana benthamiana. RNAcentral describes it as "long non-coding RNA (NBEN_LNC034526)". Lineage: Eukaryota; Viridiplantae; Streptophyta; Magnoliopsida; Solanales; Solanaceae. The record is from RNAcentral.